GGGAAUUUUCGUCAAUGGGGGGAACCCUGAACGAGCAAUGCCGCGUGAGUGAAGAAGGCCUUCGGGUCGUAAAGCUCUGUUGUAAGAGAAAAACGGUCAUUAUAGGGAAUGAUAAUGAAGUGAUGGUAUCUUACCAGAAAGCCACGGCUAACUACGUGCCAGCAGCCGCGGUAAUACGUAGGUGGCAAGCGUUAUCCGGAAUGAUUGGGCGUAAAGGGUGCGCAGGCGGUCCAGAAAGUCUGUAGUAAAAGGCAUUGGCUCAACCAAUGUAUGCUGUGGAAACUGAUGGACUAGAGUGCAGGAGAGGGCAGUGGAAUUCCAUGUGUAGCGGUAAAAUGCGUAGAUAUAUGGAGGAACACCGGUGGCGAAGGCGGCUGCCUGGCCUGUAACUGACGCUGAGGCACGAAAGCGUGGGGAGCAAAUAGG
This 426-nucleotide ribosomal RNA is filed under the name uncultured bacterium. RNAcentral describes it as "bacterial SSU rRNA". It matches the Rfam family "Bacterial small subunit ribosomal RNA", at positions 357 to 776 of the family's 1533-position model. The record is from RNAcentral.